Molecule: transfer RNA, 85 nt
Filed under: Felis catus (domestic cat)
Lineage: Eukaryota; Metazoa; Chordata; Mammalia; Carnivora; Felidae
Rfam family: tRNA
About the family: Transfer RNA (tRNA) molecules are approximately 80 nucleotides in length. Their secondary structure includes four short double-helical elements and three loops (D, anti-codon, and T loops). Further hydrogen bonds mediate the characteristic L-shaped molecular structure. tRNAs have two regions of fundamental functional importance: the anti-codon, which is responsible for specific mRNA codon recognition, and the 3' end, to which the tRNAs corresponding amino acid is attached (by aminoacyl-tRNA synthetases). tRNAs cope with the degeneracy of the genetic code in two manners: having more than one tRNA (with a specific anti-codon) for a particular amino acid; and 'wobble' base-pairing, i.e. permitting non-standard base-pairing at the 3rd anti-codon position.
Source: Rfam by way of RNAcentral
GCCCGGGUGGCUCAGUCGGUUGAGCGUCCGACUUCGGCUCAGGUCAUGAUCUCACAGUCUGUGAGUUCGAGCCCCACGUCGGGCU